Molecule: ribosomal RNA, 503 nt
Filed under: uncultured bacterium
Lineage: Bacteria
Description: partial 16S ribosomal RNA
Rfam family: Bacterial small subunit ribosomal RNA
Source: RNAcentral
AUUGAACGCUGGCGGCAGGCUUAACACAUGCAAGUCGAGCGGGGUGAUGGUGCUUGCACUAUCACUUAGCGGCGGACGGGUGAGUAAUGCUUAGGAAUCUGCCUAUUAGUGGGGGACAACAUCUCGAAAGGGAUGCUAAUACCGCAUACGUCCUACGGGAGAAAGCAGGGGAUCACUUGUGACCUUGCGCUAAUAGAUGAGCCUCAGUCGGAUUAGCUAGUUGGUGGGGUAAAGGCCUACCAAGGCGAAGAUCUGUAGCGGGUCUGAGAGGAUGAUCCGCCACACUGGGACUGAGACACGGCCCAGACUCCUACGGGAGGCAGCAGUGGGGAAUAUUGGACAAUGGGGGGAACCCUGAUCCAGCCAUGCCGCGUGUGUGAAGAAGGCCUUAUGGUUGUAAAGCACUUUAAGCGAGGAGGAGGCUCUUUUGGUUAAUACCCAAGAUGAGUGGACGUUACUCGCAGAAUAAGCACCGGCUAACUCUGUGCCAGCCGCCGCGGUAA